RNAcentral lists this ribosomal RNA (274 nucleotides) under uncultured bacterium. RNAcentral's name for it is "partial 16S ribosomal RNA". It matches the Rfam family "Bacterial small subunit ribosomal RNA", at positions 523 to 796 of the family's 1533-position model. The record is from RNAcentral.
AUACGAAGGGAGCUAGCGUUGUUCGGAAUUACUGGGCGUAAAGCGCACGGAGGCGGACUUGUUAGUCAGGGGUGAAAUCCCGGGGCCCAACCUCGGAACUGCCUUUGAUACUGCAAGUCUGGAGUCCGGAAGAGGUGGGUGGAAUUCCUAGUGUAGAGGUGAAAUUCGUAGAUAUUAGGAAGAACGCCGGUGGCGAAGGCGGCCCACUGGUCCGGUACUGACGCUGAGGUGCGAAAGCGUGGGGAGCAAACAGGAUUAGAAACCCCAGUAGUCC